RNAcentral lists this small RNA (93 nucleotides) under Salipaludibacillus aurantiacus. RNAcentral's name for it is "BsrC". It matches the Rfam family "BsrC". Rfam says of the family: The 301 nucleotide sequence from Kouji Nakamura has been trimmed to a highly conserved ~85 nucleotide long core to form this family. Lineage: Bacteria; Bacillati; Bacillota; Bacilli; Caryophanales; Bacillaceae. The record is from RNAcentral.
UAUACCUAAAAAAAUGAAUGCCCUGCCUCUCUUUCCAUCACAUCUUGACGGCUACUUAUUAGUGCCAGUGUGAAUCAGGAUUGAAAGAUCAAG